CAUUCGAUACGGGCAAACUAGAGUUUGGUAGGGGAGACUGGAAUUCCUGGUGUAGCGGUGGAAUGCGCAGAUAUCAGGAGGAACACCAAUGGCGAAGGCAGGUCUCUGGGCCAAUACUGACACUGAGGAGCGAAAGUCUGGGGAGCAAACAGGAUUAGAUACCCUGGUAGUCCAGACCGUAAACGGUGGGCACUAGUUGUGGGAACCUUCCACGGUUUCUGCGACGCAGCUAACGCAUUAAGUGCCCCGCCUGGGGAGUACGAUCGCAAGAUUAAAACUCAAAGGAAUUGACGGGGCCCCGCACAAGCAGCGGAGCAUGCGGCUUAAUUCGACGCAACGCGAAGAACCUUACCAAGGCUUGACAUAUAGGGAAAAGUGGCAGAGAUGUCAUGUCCGCAAGGGCUCUAUACAGGUGGUGCAUGGUUGUCGUCAGCUCGUGUCGUGAGAUGUUGGGUUAAGUCCCGCAACGAGCGCAACCCUCGUUCUGUGUUGCCAGCAUUUAGUUGGGGACUCACAGGAGACUGCCGGGGUUAACUCGGAGGAAGGUGGGGAUGACGUCAAAUCAUCAUGCCCCUUAUGUCUUGGGCUGCACGCAUGCUACAAUGGCCGGUACAGAGGGCUGCAAUACCGCAAGGUGGAGCGAAUCCCAAAAAGCCGGUCUCAGUUCGGAUUGAGGUCUGCAACUCGACCUCAUGAAGUUGGAGUUGCUAGUAAUCGUAGAUCAGCAACGCUACGGUGAAUACGUUCCCGGGGCUUGUACACACCGCCCGUCACGUCACGAAAGUCGGUAACACCCAAAGUCAGUGGCCCAACCGCAAGGGGGGAGCUGCCUAAGGUGGGAUCGGUGAUUGGGACGAAGUCGUAACAAGGUA
Molecule: ribosomal RNA, 872 nt
Filed under: uncultured bacterium
Lineage: Bacteria
Description: bacterial SSU rRNA
Rfam family: Bacterial small subunit ribosomal RNA
Source: RNAcentral